Molecule: ribosomal RNA, 434 nt
Filed under: uncultured Lachnospiraceae bacterium
Lineage: Bacteria; Bacillati; Bacillota; Clostridia; Lachnospirales; Lachnospiraceae
Description: partial 16S ribosomal RNA
Rfam family: Bacterial small subunit ribosomal RNA
Source: RNAcentral
ACGGAAGGCAGCAGUGGGGAAUAUUGGACAAUGGGGGAAACCCUGAUCCAGCGACGCCGCGUGAGUGAAGAAGUAUUUCGGUAUGUAAAGCUCUAUCAGCAGGGAAGAUAAUGACGGUACCUGACUAAGAAGCUCCGGCUAAAUACGUGCCAGCAGCCGCGGUAAUACGUAUGGAGCAAGCGUUAUCCGGAUUUACUGGGUGUAAAGGGAGCGUAGGCGGAAGGCUAAGUCUGAUGUGAAAACCCAGGGCUCAACCUUGGGACUGCAUUGGAAACUGGUUUUCUAGAGUGUCGGAGGGGUAAGUGGAAUUCCUAGUGUAGCGGUGAAAUGCGUAGAUAUUAGGAGGAACACCAGUGGCGAAGGCGGCUUACUGGACGACAACUGACGCUGAGGCUCGAAAGCGUGGGGAGCAAACAGGAUUAGAUACCCUGGUA